RNAcentral lists this long non-coding RNA (1025 nucleotides) under Physcomitrium patens. RNAcentral's name for it is "long non-coding RNA (PPAT_LNC007408)". The record is from RNAcentral. Lineage: Eukaryota; Viridiplantae; Streptophyta; Bryopsida; Funariales; Funariaceae.
AAAUGUUCUUUGAUUGCCACAAACCUUCACACAAAAUCACAAUAUACAUUAACAAAACUUACUUAUAUGUAAGUUAUUAUACAUACUUCAAUCAAACAUAAUUGUUUCAUAUCUUAGAUAAAGAUUAUGCUAGAAUAUUUUCUCAUUGCACCAUCCAUCUUUGAAUAAUUAAUUGAUAAUAAUAAUUUUUGACAUUUUAUUGUAAAUUCAAUAUGCCAUAAAAAUACUCUGUUCAAAAUGUCACCUCCUCUUAUUACGUUUAUAAGCUUUUUUUUCUCCAAUCCUUUGUGUUUCCUAAACCACUCAUUAUACAAAUACAAAUGACACCAAUAAAGUAAUGAAUCAAUGAAAAGUCCACCCUAUAAAACAAUUGGCUCAAUCCUCAAAAUGGACAAAGAAUCUUCUUAGAAGUUUGAAGUUAGAAGUUUGAAGAUGUUCUCACCAUAGAAUAUGGUGUCUUCCGUCCUUUAAAUCAUUAUAAAAGUGUUCCGUCCUUUAAAUCAUUCAAAUCAGCUCUUAUCUCCCAAUUCGAUUGCACACAAGCCUAGCCAAGAUACAAUUAUUAUAUGCUGUUCAAUACACCGUCAUCUUCUUGACAAUCUUCAUCCAUGAAGCAGGAAGCCGGAAUUACAAAAUUAACUAACAAACAAACAAAUAUUAAGUGCAUAUCAACGCAAGAAUGCCAGAUAGCCCAAGUUCAUGGCAAAAAAAAACUUCCGCUAGAUUGACAUCAUAAGUUAAAGUAUCUACAAUAUUCAAUCUUCUUAAAGACCCAAAACCUCUUGAUUGUUCACGCGCUUGCAUAGGAUACACCAAACAUGAGCUUACGAUCAAGCCUAUUGUCUAGCUUCCGUUCAUCACCUCGAGCACUAUAUUCGAAACAUAGAAAGCCAUCAAAACAAUCUAGGAACCAAAGAAAAACCACAUGAUUACCUACCAUCCAGUGCUCCUCGCUCUCACGUUGUUUGCAUACGACGUUAUCUGAUAAGUGUCGUUCCGAAUUGGACCUGUUGUCGAUGGUGAUC